RNAcentral lists this unclassified non-coding RNA (371 nucleotides) under soil metagenome. RNAcentral's name for it is "partial contains 5.8S ribosomal RNA, internal transcribed spacer 2, and large subunit ribosomal RNA". The stretch from base 1 to 121 matches the Rfam family "5.8S ribosomal RNA", at positions 35 to 154 of the family's 154-position model. The record is from RNAcentral.
GAUGAAGAACGUAGCGAAAUGCGAUAAGUAAUGCGAAUUGCAGAAUUUCCGUGAGUCAUCGAAUCUUUGAACGCACAUUGCGCCCUUUGGUAUUCCGAAGGGCAUGCCUGUUCGAGCGUCAUUAUCACCCCUCAAGCCCUCGGCUUGGUGUUGGACGGUUUGGUGGAGGCCCCCUCGGGGGCUCCUGCCCCUCCCAAAGACAAUGACGGCGGCCUCGUUGGACCCCCGGUACACUGAGUUCUUCACGGGACACGUAUCGGACACAUGGGUUUACGGGACACGGUCUGCCUCCCCUCAGGGAGAAUCUUUCUAAGGUUGACCUCGGAUCAGGUAGGGAUACCCGCUGAACUUAAGCAUAUCAUAACGGAGGA